GGAAGGGUGGUAUUUAUUAGACUGAAGCCAAUAUUCCUUGUGUCUAUUGCGGUGAUUCAUAAUAACUGAUCGAAUCUCUUUUUGAGAUAAAUCAUUCAAGUUUCUGCCCUAUCAGCUUUCGAUGGUAGUGUAUUGGACUACCAUGGCAGUAACGGGUAACGAAGAAUUAGGGUUCGAUUUCGGAGAGGGAGCAUGAGAAACGGCUACCACAUCUAAGGAAGGCAGCAGGCGCGUAAAUUACCCAAUCCUGACUCAGGGAGGUAGUGACAAGAAAUAGCAAACCGGGAACCUCAUGGUUUCACGGUAUUGCAAUGAGAACAAUUUAAAACCCUUAGCGAGAAUCAAGUGGAGGACAAGUCUGGUGCCAGCACCCGCGGUAAUUCCAGCUCCACUAGCGUAUAUUAAAGUUGUUGCAGUUAAAAAGCUCGUAGUUGAACCUCUGUCUGGGGCUAGUUUUGGCUUUGGUCAGGCUAGUUCUAGGCAUCCGCCUACAAGACUUAGAGGGCAUUCAGUUGUUCACUAGGAGGAGUAGGCAUUUUACUUUGAAAAAAUUAGAGUGUUUAAGGCAGGCAAUCGCCCGCAUAUAUUAGCAUGGAAUAAUAGAAUAGGACACUUUUCCAUUUCGUUGGUUAUUGGAAUCGUGUAAUGAUUAAUAGGGACAGUUGUGGGCAUUUGUAUUUAAUUGUCAGAGGUGAAAUUCUUGGAUUUAUUAAAGACAAACUAGCGCGAAAGCAUUUGCCAAGGAUGUUUUCAUUAAUCAAGAACGAAAGUUAGGGGAUCAAAGACGAUCAGAUACCGUCCUAGUCUUAACUAUAAACUAUUCCGACUCAAUGUUUGACUGGCUUAUAUAACCAGUUGAGCGUUGUAUGAGAAAUCAAAGUCUUUAGGUUCUGGGGGGAGUAUGGUUGCAAAGCUGAAACUUAAAGGAAUUGACGGAAGAGCACAACCAGGAGUGGAUUCUGCGGCUUAAUUUGACUCAACACGGGGAAACUUACCAGGUUAAAACAAUAGUGGGAUUGACAGUUUGAGAGCGCUUUCUUGAUUGGUUGGGUGGUGGUGCAUGGCCGUUCUUAGUUGGUGGAGUGAUUUGUCUGCUUAAUUGCGUUAACGAACGAGACCUUAACCUGCUUACUAGACUGGCGAUCAUCAAUCGUUAGCUCUUCUUAGAGGGACUUUGGUUGUUUUAACUCCAAGGAAGUUUGAGGCAAUAACAGGUCUGUGAUGCCCUUAGAUAUCCUGGGCCGCACGCGUCAUACAAUGACUAGUUCAGAAAGUUUUCUCCUGACCCGAAAGGGGAUGGGUA
RNAcentral lists this ribosomal RNA (1303 nucleotides) under metagenome. Its description in RNAcentral is "SSU rRNA". It matches the Rfam family "Eukaryotic small subunit ribosomal RNA", at positions 194 to 1548 of the family's 1831-position model. The record is from RNAcentral.